CACUUCACUGGGUUCAGGUCUCCAUUCUUUUCUGCUGGCCAUGUGUUUCACUAAAUUCUGGCCCCAUUCACCUCUUAGAAGUUAAGUCCUAAUUAGCCUAAGCAAAUCAUGAUAAUUAUAUUCUUAUUCUCAGUGACUGGAUUAAGAAAAGGCAUGUGACUCAGUUCUAUGAAAUAGGAGAGAGAAGUCUGCUGAAGGUGCUCCCCUCUUAGAAGAGACACAAGGAAACAACAAUCCUUUCUUUUCCUCUGGGUCUUGGUGUGUGAGGAUGCCACGACUGGAGGGAGCCAGGCGAUAUACGGACAACGGCAGCAAAGAGUGACGGCAGCCCCCAGCUCUUGACAGUACCUAGCACUGGCGAUGGCAUGUUGGUGAGACUACACCUCUGUACAGCCUUACCGAGGAUCAAGUGAGUAACAGUUAUCGGGAUUCCACCAGGACAUUCACUGGAACAGGAAAACCCUGGACACUAGGAAAGAUCCCUUGAGACGGCACUGCUCAGCAGACGCUGUCGAUGGGUUCCCUGGUGUCAUUCAUGACCCCACCCCCUUGCCUCCCUCUCCUGGGACGGUGGGAAAGCAGAAAUGCUCUCCUCCUCAGAUCCCCUGCCACUGGGCCGGCCCUGUUGCUAUGCAGGUAUUCUCCCCAAGGACAGUAACGGAAGUCUCUGGGAAAGCCAUUUAGAAGGGACUCACCUGAGCACACUGUAGCACCGCCCUGCCUUCUCCAGCAGCUGAUGCGGGAGGAGGCUGGCCUUCGCUCCCAUCGAGACUUCCCACACUAAUUGAGACUGCAACCACAUCAGAGCCUCUGGGAAAGAGCAGAAGGCACCCGAAUCCUCGGCUGCUGCAGAGCCCACCCACCCGCCUUCGAUGAGUCAGCCACAGAGGCCACCAUCGAACUGACACCAUCCAGGCAGAGAACAGUGGUGUGAAGAUGGAACAGUUGAAGGAACUAGAACUUAUUCGAAAGAGCCAGUGACCAGAGCACCACAGGAACCAGCACCUCCAGGGAAGCAUGGCCAUCACCAUGCUCAUCCUGGAAAUGAAGCAAGCGCUCCAUUAGAGGGGCACUAGCCUGCUGCCCACAGCUUUCCAGAAGAUUCCGAGGUUCAGAACCUGACAUCUACACAAGAGAGUUGAUCGUUUUAGAAAAUUAGUGCAGUAUUGCAGAAUGGGGUUCCUAGCUGAGGAGACGCAUUUUUCAGCAAUGCACCUAUCCUGGAGAGGCUGGAGGGUAACUGACCUUUCCAAAUUCUUGGGUGAGAGGGACAUUUCCGGACUCUGUUGCACAAAGAGGCUCACCAAAAGUCUCUCUGCAUUGGAGAGAGAGAAGCUUCCUGCACCUGCAGCCUUUGCCCCAGUCGCCACCCUUCCCCCUUCCUCUGCCUUGAAACAAGGACACCGUAACUCAAGGUCCAGCAGCCAGAAUACAGUCCUGAGGACAAAAGCCCAGUGCUGAGUAUGACAGAGCAGGAGGUCCACAUUCUGUCCUUCUCUACUGCUCAGGGCACCCGAGGAUGGCUUGUCUGGACUGCAUCAACAGGUUCACCUGCCCUCUGGCUUCUGGUUGGGCUUGGCCCAGAAAUACUCCUGCUGCGAGUUACUCUGUUAUAUGCUUGCGAAAGUACACCAAGAUCAUUUACAAGGACGGUCCCUGCAGUAUUGUUUGUAAUGGCAAAAUUAUGGAAACUGCUCAUAUAUUCCUCAGUUGGAAGACUAGUUAAAUAAAAUAUAGUGUAGCAUACCUUGGGACACUUUGUAAAAAUGAAAAAGGGAUGGCUCUGGAGGUGCUGACUUGGAAAGUUCUCCCAGAUAUAUUUUAAAUGAAAAAAGCUAUGAAGACAGCUGGAUUCUCAUAUCUGCAUUCAGUCUACUGCAAUAUGAUGUUUUGGGUGGAAUUAUCGGAAGAAAAUCUGGCCUCACACGGACACGUAGUUGGAAGAGGGAGGGUCCCACAGACCCUCUGAAAUGGUCCCCAGGAUCCCAGGGCUCCUCUGACCACACACUGAGGACCGCUGUGCCGGAGCAGGGCACAUCUUAACAAAGCUGAGGAAGACUGGCCCUGAGCUAACAUCCGUGCCCAUCUUCCUCCACUUUUUAAAUGUGAGAUGCCUGCCACAGCAUGGCUUGAUAAGUAGUGCAUAGGUCUGCACCUGGGAUCUGAACUGGCAAACCCUGGGCUGCCAAAGCAGAACUUAAUCACUGCACUACCGGGCCAGCCCCAGCAAGGGGAGUUUCUGAAGGGAGUGUGCCAUCU
This 2259-nucleotide long non-coding RNA is filed under the name Equus caballus (horse). RNAcentral's name for it is "lncRNA (ENSECAG00000046347.1)". Lineage: Eukaryota; Metazoa; Chordata; Mammalia; Perissodactyla; Equidae. The record is from RNAcentral.